Molecule: long non-coding RNA, 2503 nt
Filed under: Homo sapiens (human)
Lineage: Eukaryota; Metazoa; Chordata; Mammalia; Primates; Hominidae
Description: HSALNT0224915
Source: RNAcentral
AAAAAAAAAAAAAAGUUGCGGAAGUUCCCUUGGCACACUUGGCUAAGGAAACCUGGCACCGAGGAUAUGAAACUGGGGGACUUGAGGCUCCCUGAAUAAGAGAUGGAGCUUGCAGAGGACGCACUAGGUGCCUGGCGUUGGCCUAAGCACUUUCCAGCAGAUAAUUUGCUUAUCCUCAGGGCAACCUUAUGAGGUAGGUACUAUUAUUACCCAUUUUAUAGAUGAGGAAACUGAGCCACGUGGAGGUGGGAAUGCCAAGACUGAUCCCAGGCAGCCUGGCUCUGCAUACGAAACUGCUGUAUUCUUUGCCCUGUGGUAUCUCAUACCUGGAAGGCAGGCAGGGAACAGAGGAGAAAGGUUGAGGCUGAAUCGUUACAUAAGUGCAAGGGCCCCAGGGUCCUGAGUGGCACCUGAGAAGAGAGGAGCCCAAGCUAUUAGGCCGUAAAAUACACUGCCUGGUGUCUGCCACAUAGUAGAUUCUCCAUAAGUGUUGAACUGAAAUCAAGCAUAAUUACCUGAGCUAUCAGCCCUUUCUCUCUAGUUCAUCAACAUUUCUCUCAAUUCUUUGAUUUUGUCAAACUUGGUAAACCACGGAAAAUGUGUACUUCUUAAAAAAAAAAAAAAGAAAAGAAAAAGAUUGUCCAGUUCAUGGAACACUGCAACAAGACAUGUGAGAAGAGAUCUUACUAGUGUUUAACUCAAAAUCCCGAGAGGCUUGCGCAGAGGCUGGAGCCCAGCAACCAUUGCUUGUCCUUAGAGCCCAUUUAAGGGGCACCCUCCUAUCAUCACCCAUUAGCUUUCUCCCGGUGAAGCAUGAAUAUUUUCACAGUGAAGCUCAGGUCUAACUGUGACACUCUCACUGCCCACAAAAUGCACAGGAUUCCAGUGAGCAAAUAGCCCCGCCCUGAGUCUACCCGGCAUCGGCCACAGGCAUGCAUAGCAGGAACUGGGCGGCUGAGUUCACAGGCAGUCAGAAUGGGUGCUGCUGCUAGCAAGGUUAAAAUCAUCUGUUCUGCCAAUGUCCCCCUCUGCUCACCCUCUAGGCUGUGGUCUGGGUCCCUCAGGAUAGCCACAACUUGGGAGGCAGCCACUGCUCCCCUUGCUUUGGGCCCUUAGCUGCGUCCUGUUUACCUUCACCUUCCUGAUACAUUCCUUGGGUGCUUUGCUUGUGUGUGCAGGGGCUUUGAUCAACUCGGCCUUCCUGGGCCUCGGGGAGAGAGACGGACUGCCUCCGGGUGCUCAUGACCUUUCCAGCAGUAAGCCAAUAAUGUAUGACUCCUGCGUUGCCGUUGCUCGUUUGAGGAACAUCUGUCCAGUCCCUGGGAUGGUGAGGCUAUAACCACAAAGGAAUAAGAGAAGACGACUAGUUUUGUAAUGGGAUUUGCUCUCUUUUGAGGAUCAAGAGCCACAGAAUGCUAAAGGGAGGCAGAGUCUCGGAGGUCCCCUGUGAAGUGGGAAAUCACCUGGAUGCAGUGGGGCCCUUCAAGUGCAUCACCAAAAAAAACCAUCCCAGAAGGCACAGUGGAUUGAAGAGGGGGGCAGUGCUGAGUCAUUCACGUGGUGUGUGAGGGCUCCUGUUUGUAAAUCAGGGAUUCUUGCAGCCUGCUUUUUCAGGGACAUUGGCUGCUGUCUUCUGACCCACCCUGUGUGGCUUUGGCGUCUCCUGUGACCUCCCAGUAUGGGUCUUGGCCUCAUCCUGCCUCUUUGUCUUUCUGGCCCACCACCCACAGCUUGAAUCUCAGGCUCCAACAGUUGCCUGACCCCCAGAUUCUGAUGACAGCCUACCUACUUGUUCUUCAGGCCCUCACCAGACUCACUGCCCAGACACACCACACAGGAGAACAUGAAAGGCUUUGAAUGAUGCAUUGGCCCACGUGGACCACCUUCCAUUUCCCAAGACUUUUUGAAGGCAAUGAAUGAGAAGAAAGCAGAGAAAACAGUGGGCGUGAGGUCAGAUGACUCAGGCUUGAGUACUGAUCACAUCAAGGAUUGGACGCACUGCUCUUAGGAAGGCACAACUUCUACUACUUUCAGUCUUAUCAACUGUGAGAGUGUACCCUUGCUGUAGAUGCCACCCGCCCAGCAGUCCUCAUCAUCUUGGCCCAGGAUCACCUGAAACAGAUGAUCCUCCUUUUGAGCUACCAUCAGAAGGUCCACAGUACUAGCCCAGCGCUACAUCCCAAUGCCUACGCCAUUCAUCUCACCUCAUCUCAUCACGUAGACAUUUCAUCAUGUCACAUCAUCACAAGAAGGGAAUCUAUUCACAAAUAAGGUUUUGUGGAUUCAACAGCUUUACUGAAGAUAUGUAGAUUGUUGUUAGCGCUUCCUACCUUGCACAGCCUCUUGUCCCGUCACUGGCCCCAUGCAUCUUCCUCUGCUGCCUUCAAGAAGCUCCAGAUCCUGCCACAGACGUGCUCCACUCAGAGGACUGGAGUCCAAUCCCCUGACAGUGCUUUUCUCUUUGGGAAGCACCCCCUCCCCCACUGCCAUUAAACCUCUGGAA